This 404-nucleotide ribosomal RNA is filed under the name uncultured bacterium. RNAcentral describes it as "bacterial SSU rRNA". It matches the Rfam family "Bacterial small subunit ribosomal RNA", at positions 28 to 435 of the family's 1533-position model. The record is from RNAcentral.
GACGAACGCUGGCGGCGUGCUUAACACAUGCAAGUCGAGCGGUAAGGCCCUUCGGGUACGACGAGCGGCGAACGGGUGAGUAACACGUGGGUGACCUGCCUCUAGCUCUGGGAUAAGCCUGGGAAACUGGGUCUAAUACCGGAUAUGACUCCAUGACGCAUGUUGGUGGGGUGGAAAGCCUUGUGCGGCUAGGGAUGGGCCCGCGGCCUAUCAGCUUGUUGGUGGGGUGAUGGCCUACCAAGGCGACGACGGGUAGCCGGCCUGAGAGGGCGACCGGCCACACUGGGGACUGAGACACGGCCCAGACUCCUACGGGAGGCAGCAGUGGGGAAUCUUGCGCAAUGGGCGAAAGCCUGACGCAGCGACGCCGCGUGAGGGAUGACGGCCUGGUGUAACUACUUCUA